RNAcentral lists this ribosomal RNA (427 nucleotides) under uncultured bacterium. RNAcentral's name for it is "bacterial SSU rRNA". It matches the Rfam family "Bacterial small subunit ribosomal RNA", at positions 355 to 774 of the family's 1533-position model. The record is from RNAcentral. RNAcentral also lists the same sequence under 1 other name.
UGGGGAAUUUUGGACAAUGGGCGCAAGCCUGAUCCAGCCAUGCCGCGUGUCUGAAGAAGGCCUUCGGGUUGUAAAGGACUUUUGUCAGGGAGCAAAACUUACUGGUUAAUACCUGGUGAGGUUGAGAGUACCUGAAGAAUAAGCACCGGCUAACUACGUGCCAGCAGCCGCGGUAAUACGUAGGGUGCAAGCGUUAAUCGGAAUUACUGGGCGUAAAGCGUGCGCAGGCGGACUUUUAAGCCAGAUGUGAAAGCCCCGAGCUUAACUUGGGAAUUGCGUUUGGAACUGGGAGUCUAGAGUCUGUCAGAGGGGGAUGGAAUUCCACGUGUAGCAGUGAAAUGCGUAGAGAUGUGGAGGAACACCGAUGGCGAAGGCAGUCCCCUGGGAUAAGACUGACGCUCAUGCACGAAAGCGUGGGGAGCAAACA